GAUGAACGCUGGCGGUGUGCCUAAUACAUGCAAGUCGAUCGAACAGACGAGGAGCUUGCUCCUCUGACGUUAGCGGCGGACGGGUGAGUAACACGUGGAUAACCUACCUAUAAGACUGGGAUAACUUCGGGAAACCGGAGCUAAUACCGGAUAAUAUAUUUAACCGCAUGGUUCAAUAGUGAAAGACGGUUUUGCUGUCACUUAUAGAUGGAUCCGCGCCGCAUUAGCUAGUUGGUAAGGUAACGGCUUACCAAGGCAACGAUGCGUAGCCGACCUGAGAGGGUGAUCGGCCACACUGGAACUGAGACACGGUCCAGACUCCUACGGGAGGCAGCAGUAGGGAAUCGUCCGCAAUGGGCGAAAGCCUGACGGAGCAACGACGCGUGAGAGAUGAAGGUCUUCGGAUCGUAAAACUCUGUUAUUAGGGAAGAACAAAUGUGUAAGUAACUAUGCACGUCUUGAAGGUACCUAAUCAGAAAGCCACGGCUAACUACGUG
This 497-nucleotide ribosomal RNA is filed under the name uncultured bacterium. RNAcentral's name for it is "partial 16S ribosomal RNA". It matches the Rfam family "Bacterial small subunit ribosomal RNA", at positions 28 to 507 of the family's 1533-position model. The record is from RNAcentral.